Molecule: ribosomal RNA, 1520 nt
Filed under: Staphylococcus aureus
Lineage: Bacteria; Bacillati; Bacillota; Bacilli; Caryophanales; Staphylococcaceae
Description: partial 16S ribosomal RNA
Rfam family: Bacterial small subunit ribosomal RNA
Source: RNAcentral
UGGCGGCGUGCCUAAUACAUGCAAGUCGAGCGAACGGACGAGAAGCUUGCUUCUCUGAUGUUAGCGGCGGACGGGUGAGUAACACGUGGAUAACCUACCUAUAAGACUGGGAUAACUUCGGGAAACCGGAGCUAAUACCGGAUAAUAUUUUGAACCGCAUGGUUCAAAAGUGAAAGACGGUCUUGCUGUCACUUAUAGAUGGAUCCGCGCUGCAUUAGCUAGUUGGUAAGGUAACGGCUUACCAAGGCAACGAUGCAUAGCCGACCUGAGAGGGUGAUCGGCCACACUGGAACUGAGACACGGUCCAGACUCCUACGGGAGGCAGCAGUAGGGAAUCUUCCGCAAUGGGCGAAAGCCUGACGGAGCAACGCCGCGUGAGUGAUGAAGGUCUUCGGAUCGUAAAACUCUGUUAUUAGGGAAGAACAUAUGUGUAAGUAACUGUGCACAUCUUGACGGUACCUAAUCAGAAAGCCACGGCUAACUACGUGCCAGCAGCCGCGGUAAUACGUAGGUGGCAAGCGUUAUCCGGAAUUAUUGGGCGUAAAGCGCGCGUAGGCGGUUUUUUAAGUCUGAUGUGAAAGCCCACGGCUCAACCGUGGAGGGUCAUUGGAAACUGGAAAACUUGAGUGCAGAAGAGGAAAGUGGAAUUCCAUGUGUAGCGGUGAAAUGCGCAGAGAUAUGGAGGAACACCAGUGGCGAAGGCGACUUUCUGGUCUGUAACUGACGCUGAUGUGCGAAAGCGUGGGGAUCAAACAGGAUUAGAUACCCUGGUAGUCCACGCCGUAAACGAUGAGUGCUAAGUGUUAGGGGGUUUCCGCCCCUUAGUGCUGCAGCUAACGCAUUAAGCACUCCGCCUGGGGAGUACGACCGCAAGGUUGAAACUCAAAGGAAUUGACGGGGACCCGCACAAGCGGUGGAGCAUGUGGUUUAAUUCGAAGCAACGCGAAGAACCUUACCAAAUCUUGACAUCCUUUGACAACUCUAGAGAUAGAGCCUUCCCCUUCGGGGGACAAAGUGACAGGUGGUGCAUGGUUGUCGUCAGCUCGUGUCGUGAGAUGUUGGGUUAAGUCCCGCAACGAGCGCAACCCUUAAGCUUAGUUGCCAUCAUUAAGUUGGGCACUCUAAGUUGACUGCCGGUGACAAACCGGAGGAAGGUGGGGAUGACGUCAAAUCAUCAUGCCCCUUAUGAUUUGGGCUACACACGUGCUACAAUGGACAAUACAAAGGGCAGCGAAACCGCGAGGUCAAGCAAAUCCCAUAAAGUUGUUCUCAGUUCGGAUUGUAGUCUGCAACUCGACUACAUGAAGCUGGAAUCGCUAGUAAUCGUAGAUCAGCAUGCUACGGUGAAUACGUUCCCGGGUCUUGUACACACCGCCCGUCACACCACGAGAGUUUGUAACACCCGAAGCCGGUGGAGUAACCUUUUAGGAGCUAGCCGUCGAAGGUGGGACAAAUGAUUGGGGUGAAGUCGUAACAAGGUAGCCGUAUCGGAAGGUGCGGCUGGAUCACCUCCUUUCUAA